UACGUAGGGUGCGAGCGUUAAUCGGAAUUACUGGGCGUAAAGCGUGCGCAGGCGGUUUUGUAAGCCAGAUGUGAAAGCCCCGGGCUUAACCUGGGAAUGGCAUUUGGGACUGCAAGGCUUGAGUGUGGCAGAGGAGACUGGAAUUCCGGGUGUAGCGGUGGAAUGCGUAGAGAUCCGGAAGAACACCGGUGGCGAAGGCGGCCUGCUGGGCAGUAGCUGACGCUGAGGCGCGACAGCGUGGGGAGCAAACAGG
This 253-nucleotide ribosomal RNA is filed under the name uncultured bacterium. RNAcentral describes it as "partial 16S ribosomal RNA". It matches the Rfam family "Bacterial small subunit ribosomal RNA", at positions 524 to 776 of the family's 1533-position model. The record is from RNAcentral.